Molecule: long non-coding RNA, 1422 nt
Organism: Leopardus geoffroyi (Geoffroy's cat)
Lineage: Eukaryota; Metazoa; Chordata; Mammalia; Carnivora; Felidae
Exons: 2
Source: RefSeq, a predicted model, not a curated record
GUCUGUUUCAUCAGAGGCUAUAGACCCCAAGGAGAUAGCUUAGUAGUUACUUCACUUAAUUAGCAGAAAAUGAGGCCCAGUGGUUUGGAUGAUUCUACCCACAUCCAGAUGCUGUAAGAAACCUCAGUCCAUACGAAUGACCGCUCAGCAUUCCCAUAUUCCCCCUCCCAGAACAUAUGAUCUAUUUCUUACCAAUCUAACUCAUCCUAGCUAGCGAUCUGCUAACAAAAGCAAUCUUUCCUCAAAUCAAAGUUUCUUCACCCUUUGUUUGUUUUUGGUGUUGCUUAAGAAAUAGCACUUCAAAUGCCCUCAGCCUUAAAAGAAAGCAGGCGGAUGUGGAAAGUAGUCUGAACCACUGUUGUCUCUGCACUGACACUUCCCGCAUUUUAAUAAGCUGGCACUCUACCAAGCUCUGGUAGCAUAAGUGAGCAGAAUUUCCAUUUUUACGAAAGAUCUACAGUUGAUUUUCUAAAAAGGAACAAAAUAAUAACCAGAUGGUAGUUGAUAGGCCAACUUUAAAGGCAAGUGUUUGUUUUGAUCUCUUUUCCAAGGGAAAGAAAGUUUGGAUAAUUAGUAGAAGAAUAAGAAAAAAAAAAAAAGAAAGAGGAGAAUAAGUGCCUAAGAUAAUGUAUAAAGAGAAACGUGAGGAGGAAUGGAUAGUGGAAAACAAGGGGAAAAAUAGUCACUUCUAGAAAAAGAGAAAACAAAAGGAAAAAAUUUAACUGCAGAUUUUUCACCAAAUGGUUGCCUAGACAACUUAAUGAGGAGUAGUUCCGUCUCUACUGAAUAGUUGCUGAAACACACCCUGAAUUUAGAGUCUUUUGGCUCCACGACUAUCAACUGGAAAACCAUCAUGUUUCAGGCAUAUUAGUUAUGAGUGCCAUAUUUUCUAUAGUAUGCUUUUCUCCUAACAAUAGAAGUGGUUGGUUGCAAUCAAUUUGGUGUAUAAUAGAAGAAUAGGAAGAUUGAAACACAAGCAUGAUGAGAGUUUUGGAGUCAGAUUAGCCUAGGAUGGCAUAUUAAUAUGUGUAACAUCGAGUAACAAACUGAGGAAAAAGUAAAUUAGGAAGCAGCUCAAAGCCCAUUUGGCAAUGUAAGAUCAUCUUUACAUAUUGCCAAGGUUGCUGUUGAGAAGCAUUUUUCCAUGUAAAGAGUUUGGUACACUUGUGAGGCUAUUUAGUGUAGAGACAAAAAAUGUCACUUUUUACAAGAGAGGUUUUUUUUGUUUUUAAUCUUCCAUUAACAUCUGGCUCCUAUGGAUUCUGUUAUCACUGUUUUCUGUUUAAUUAAAUAAUUAUAAAAAAUAAAAAGUGUUUUUAAAUGCUUUACUGCUCCUAUUUGAAUUUGUCUUUUCUACAGUUUACUGUAUUUUCCAGAAAAUGUUAAUAUUACAUUGCUAUAAAUAAACCCAUCUCUACAAAA